AGUGAACGCUGGCGGUAGGCCUAACACAUGCAAGUCGAACGGCAGCACAGUAAGAGCUUGCUCUUACGGGUGGCGAGUGGCGGACGGGUGAGGAAUACAUCGGAAUCUACUUUUUCGUGGGGGAUAACGUAGGGAAACUUACGCUAAUACCGCAUACGACCUACGGGUGAAAGCAGGGGAUCUUCGGACCUUGCGCGAUUGAAUGAGCCGAUGUCGGAUUAGCUAGUUGGCGGGGUAAAGGCCCACCAAGGCGACGAUCCGUAGCUGGUCUGAGAGGAUGAUCAGCCACACUGGAACUGAGACACGGUCCAGACUCCUACGGGAGGCAGCAGUGGGGAAUAUUGGACAAUGGGCGCAAGCCUGAUCCAGCCAUACCGCGUGGGUGAAGAAGGCCUUCGGGUUUUAAGGCCCUUUUGUUGGGAAAGAAAAGCAGCAGGUUAAUACCCCGCUGUUCUGACGGUACCCAAAGAAUAAGCACCGGCUAACUUCGUG
This 492-nucleotide ribosomal RNA is filed under the name uncultured bacterium. RNAcentral's name for it is "partial 16S ribosomal RNA". It matches the Rfam family "Bacterial small subunit ribosomal RNA", at positions 29 to 507 of the family's 1533-position model. The record is from RNAcentral.